AGCAGCCGCGGUAAUUCCAGCUCCAAUAGCGUAUAUUAAAGUUGUUGCAGUUAAAAAGCUCGUAGUUGAAUUUCGGGAUCAAAGGAUCGGUCAUGCCUCGGUAUGUACUGGUUUUAUUGGUUCUCACCUUCUAAAGAACCAUAAUGUCAUUCAUUUGAUGUUAUGGGGAAUUAGGACUGUUACCUUGAAAAAAUUAGAGUGUUUAAAGCAGGCUUACGCUUGAAUACAUUAGCAUGGAAUAAUGAAAUAGGACAUCAGAUUCUAUUUUGUUGGUUUCUAGGAUCGAUGUAAUGAUUAAUAGGGAUAGUUGGGGGCAUUAGUAUUCAAUUGUCAGAGGUGAAAUUCUUGGAUUUAUUGAAGACUAACUACUGCGAAAGCAUUUGCCAAGGAUGUUUUCAUUAAUACAAGAACGAAAGUUAGGGGAUCGAAGACGAUCAGAUACCGUCGUAGUCUUAACCAUAAACUAUAGCCGACUAGGGAUCGGAUGAUGUUAAUUUAUAAUGACUCAUUCGG
This 513-nucleotide unclassified non-coding RNA is filed under the name uncultured Glomus. Its description in RNAcentral is "SSU rRNA". It matches the Rfam family "Eukaryotic small subunit ribosomal RNA", at positions 569 to 1083 of the family's 1831-position model. Lineage: Eukaryota; Fungi; Glomeromycota; Glomeromycetes; Glomerales; Glomeraceae. The record is from RNAcentral.